AUAGAAUUUAAUCUUAUUUUAGUUUUUAUUUUUAGUUUUGAGAAGUAUCUUUAUAUUUAGUAUCCUAAAGAAAAAUUUUUUUCAUUAUAGUUAAAUAGUACUGUGAAGGAAUAUUGAUGAAUUAUAUUAACUGUUAUUCUAAAAUAAGUAUACUUUAUUUGUAGUACCUUUUGUAUCAGGGUUAAUUAAAUUACUUAAUUUAUUUUAAUUUCUCGAUUUUAAAUGAGCUAAGAAGUUAUUUUAGUUAUUGUAUCAUAAUUAUUUAUAAUAUUUUUUAGAAGAGAAAUUCUAUUCGGAUUUAAAGGUAUCUAGUUUUUUAAGAAAUAAAUUUAAUUUACUUUUAUUAUUUAUUGGCUACAUUAAUUUAGCUCAUAUAUAAUAAAUGAAAUCUUAUAGGGGAUAAGCUCUUUAUGUUACUAUAAUUAGUUGAUUAAAUGAAUUUUUGUAGGUUUAAGAUUAUCCAUCAUUGAAAAGUGUGUUAUAAUUUAUAUAUACUAUUAAUUAAUUUUUUUUUAUUUAGUAACUUAUUAAAAUGCCUUAAUUAAUUUAUUAUUUUUGUUAAUAAUGAUUAAAUCUAGUAUAAUUAUAUGUAUAAUAUUUUAUUUUUGUUAUGAUAAAAUAAGGCACUCGGCAAAUAUUAUUCUCGCCUGUUUAACAAAAACAUGGCCUUUUGUAUUUAAUUGAAGGUCUGACCUGCCCGGUGAUUUAUUUAACGGCCGCGGUAUAUUGACCGUGCAAAGGUAGCAUAAUCAUUAGUCUUUUAAUAGAGGGCUGGAAUGAAAGGUUUGACGAAGGAUAGUCUGUCUCAUUUUAUUUGUGUUAAAACUUAAUUUUUUAGUAAAAAAGCUAAAAUGCUGUUGGAAGACGAGAAGACCCUAUAGAUCUUUAUAUAAAUUUAUGUAAUUAUUUAUAUAUUAAUAUGAUUACAUUAAUUUUUAUUUUGUUGGGGUGACAAAAAUAUAUAAUUAACUUUUUUAUUUAUAAUACAUUGAUUAGUGUUUAAUUGAUCCAUUAUUAUUGAUUAUUAGAACAAGUUACCUUAGGGAUAACAGCGUAAUCCUCCUUGGAAGUUCUUAUUUACAGGAUGGGCUUGCGACCUCGAUGUUGGAUUAAGAUUAUAGUUAGGUGUAGCCGCUUAAUAUAUAGGUCUGUUCGACCUUUAACCCUA
This 1168-nucleotide ribosomal RNA is filed under the name Tholymis tillarga. RNAcentral's name for it is "partial 16S ribosomal RNA". Lineage: Eukaryota; Metazoa; Arthropoda; Insecta; Odonata; Libellulidae. The record is from RNAcentral.